This 497-nucleotide ribosomal RNA is filed under the name uncultured bacterium. RNAcentral's name for it is "partial 16S ribosomal RNA". It matches the Rfam family "Bacterial small subunit ribosomal RNA", at positions 28 to 507 of the family's 1533-position model. The record is from RNAcentral.
GAUGAACGCUGGCGGCGUGCCUAAUACAUGCAAGUCGAGCGAACAGACGAGGAGCUUGCUCCUCUGACGUUAGCGGCGGACGGGUGAGUAACACGUGGAUAACCUACCUAUAAGACUGGGAUAACUUCGGGAAACCGGAGCUAAUACCGGAUAAUAUAUUGAACCGCAUGGUUCAAUAGUGAAAGACGGUUUUGCUGUCACUUAUAGAUGGUUCCGCGCCGCAUUAGCUAGUUGGUAAGGUAACGGCUUACCAAGGCAACGAUGCGUAGCCGACCUGAGAGGGUGAUAGGCCACACUGGAACUGAGACACGGUCCAGACUCCUACGGGAGGCAGCAGUCGGGAAUCGUACGCAGUGGGCGAAAGCCUGACAGAGCAACGCCGCGUGAGAGAUGAAGGUCUUCGGAUCGUAAAACUCUGUUAUUAGGGAAGAACAAAUGUGUACGUAACUAUGCACGUAUUGACGGUACCUAAUCAGAAAGCCACGGCUAACUACGUG